RNAcentral lists this ribosomal RNA (497 nucleotides) under uncultured bacterium. Its description in RNAcentral is "partial 16S ribosomal RNA". It matches the Rfam family "Bacterial small subunit ribosomal RNA", at positions 28 to 507 of the family's 1533-position model. The record is from RNAcentral.
GAUGAACGCUGGCGGCGUGCCUAAUACAUGCAAGUCGAGCGAACAGACGAGGAGCUUGCUCCUCUGACGUUAGCGGCGGACGGGUGAGUAACACGUGGAUAACCUACCUAUAAGACUGGGAUAACUUCGGGAAACCGGAGCUAAUACCGGAUAAUAUAUUGAACCGCAUGGUUCAAUAGUGAAAGACGGUUUUGCUGUCACUUAUAGAUGGAUCCGCGCCGCAUUAGCUAGUUGGUAAGGUAACGGCUUACCAAGGCAACGAUGCGUAGCCGACCUGAGAGGGUGAUAGGCCACACUGGAACUGAGACACGGUCCAGACUCCUGCGGGAGGCAGCAGUAGGGAAUCUGCCGCAGUGGGCGAAAGCUUGACGGAGCAACGCCGCGUGAGUGAUGAAGGUCUUCGGAUCGUAAAACUCUGUUAUUAGGGAAGAACAAAUGUGUAAGUAACUAUGCACGUCUUGACGGUACCUAAUCAGAAAGCCACGGCUAACUACGUG